AUUGAACGCUGGCGGCAUGCCUUACACAUGCAAGUCGAACGGCAGCAUGAUCUAGCUUGCUAGAUUGAUGGCGAGUGGCGAACGGGUGAGUAAUACAUCGGAACGUGCCCUGUAGUGGGGGAUAACUAGUCGAAAGAUUAGCUAAUACCGCAUACGACCUGAGGGUGAAAGUGGGGGACCGCAAGGCCUCAUGCUAUAGGAGCGGCCGAUGUCUGAUUAGCUAGUUGGUGAGGUAAAGGCUCACCAAGGCGACGAUCAGUAGCUGGUCUGAGAGGACGAUCAGCCACACUGGGACUGAGACACGGCCCAGACUCCUACGGGAGGCAGCAGUGGGGAAUUUUGGACAAUGGGCGAGAGCCUGAUCCAGCAAUGCCGCGUGUGUGAAGAAGGCCUUCGGGUUGUAAAGCACUUUUGUCCGGAAAGAAAUGGCUCUGGUUAAUACCUGGGGUCGAUGACGGUACCGGAAGAAUAAGGACCGGCUAACUACGUG
RNAcentral lists this ribosomal RNA (490 nucleotides) under uncultured bacterium. RNAcentral describes it as "partial 16S ribosomal RNA". It matches the Rfam family "Bacterial small subunit ribosomal RNA", at positions 30 to 507 of the family's 1533-position model. The record is from RNAcentral.